Long non-coding RNA from Cotesia glomerata, 389 nucleotides. RefSeq lists it as uncharacterized. The record is from RefSeq and is a predicted model, not a curated record. The transcript is spliced from 2 exons. Lineage: Eukaryota; Metazoa; Arthropoda; Insecta; Hymenoptera; Braconidae.
AAUAAAAACCUAUCGACCUGCCGAUGAACCUUUUGAUUAUUCAUGUUAUGUAUUAGUUCGUGCCAAUAACAGCGAUCCAAUUUUUAUUGGGUGUUAUUUGAAAGACGUAGGAUCUAAAGCAGAUACAUACAACAGUUAUUAUGAUGCACGCAAUAAAGGGAUCAUUGCAAUGUACGAUUAUUUGAACAGAAACAUGUAAUAUCACGAACAAAUAUUGGAAAUGAACACUAUCAAGCUUUUGUACUGUCUUACACAAUGAUUGUUCCUAACAUAUUUAAUCAAUAAUUUCCAUGCUGAAAUAUAUUUUUAUAAAUAAAACUCUUUUAAAACUAUUCAGAAGUGCGUACAUAAAAUUGAAGAGAUAAAAAAUAAAGAUUUCGACAAUUUGA